AAGACGAGGAGAACACGGUGGACGAGGAGGACGAGGAUUUGUGCUCGGUAUAACACGAGGUGGUUAGCGGUCGUCGUUGGAGGUGGUUUGAGGUGGUUACGGGAUGGUUGCGGGUGAUCGAGGAUUCCAAGUAUUUGACAACAGUGAUACCUUAUCACAUGGACAAUGGCCCACCUCAUAAUCAAGCUUUACAAGUCCUCACUAGGAUAUUAAAGGCUAUUAAUCAGGAUAGUCCAACGGUGCCCACAUUAUUAACGGACUACAUAUUGAAAGUUCUGUGCCCCACCUACUGAUCCACUGGUACAUAUCCUCCGACGUGACAUCGCUCUACUACGUAUAUAGAAGAAAGGAUUUAUUAAGAUGCAAAUUGCUCCUCUCUUCUUGCCAUUGUGCUUUCAGCCAUUGUUGUGCUGUGUGUUUAAAAUUUAGGACAGUAUAUAAUAUAGAAUAACAGGUACAGUUACGAAUAUAGCACUACAAUAAAUCUUA
This is a long non-coding RNA of Neodiprion fabricii, 489 nucleotides long. RefSeq lists it as uncharacterized. NCBI's taxonomy places the organism in Eukaryota, Metazoa, Arthropoda, Insecta, Hymenoptera, Diprionidae. The record is from RefSeq and is a predicted model, not a curated record. The transcript is spliced from 5 exons.